This 486-nucleotide small RNA is filed under the name Arabidopsis thaliana (thale cress). RNAcentral's name for it is "ATSL023240". The record is from RNAcentral. Lineage: Eukaryota; Viridiplantae; Streptophyta; Magnoliopsida; Brassicales; Brassicaceae.
AACGAAAAAACUUUAUUGAAUAAAGAUUAUUAGGUCCGAUCAUAAUACAACAUAUCAUAAAUCUAAAUCAAAGGACUCAAACAAUCCGAGAAAAACAUAGAAUCUAUCUAACCUUUUUCUGCCAACAAAUGAGCUAACUGAUUACACGAUAUUUUAGUAAAAGAGAAAAAGAUAUUUCUAAACUUGGUUGCCCAAAAGUGAAUAUUUUUGCGUAAGGCUUCGGUAAUGAAGUCCACCGUAAGAACCUUGAUGAUGUUGAUGAGCGCUUCAGAGUCUCUAUUUUUGAUAAAUUGAUGUAUAGCAGUCAGACCACACUUGAUGCAUUGACAUUAGUAGAGCUUUAGCUUCAGCUUCCGGUGGGGUACGUACGGCUCCCCAUCUUUUUGCUUCACCUUGACAUGUAUAUUUAAUUUUUUACUUACAUAAACUUCUUUACAAAAUAAAAAAAAACAGAACCGCAAAUACAACAAAAUUAAACACACGUAU